GAUGAACGCUGGCGGCGUGCCUAAUACAUGCAAGUAGAACGCUGAAGGAAGGAGCUUGCUCUUUCCGGAUGAGUUGCGGACGGGUGAGUAACGCGUAGGUAACCUGCCUGGUAGCGGGGGAUAACUAUUGGAAACGAUAGCUAAUACCGCAUAACAGUAGAUGUUGCAUGAUAUCUACUUAAAAGGUGCAAUUGCACCACUACCAGAUGGACCUGCGUUGUAUUAGCUAGUUGGUGAGGUAACGGCUCACCAAGGCGACGAUACAUAGCCGACCUGAGAGGGUGAUCGGCCACACUGGGACGGAGACACGGCCCAGACUCCUACGGGAGGCAGCAGUAGGGAAUCUUCGGCAACGGACGGAAGUCUGACCGAGCAACGCCGCGGGAGUGAAGAAGGUUGUCGGAUCGGAAAGCUCUGUUGUAAGAGAAGAACGAGUGUGAGAGUGGAAAGUUCACACUGUGACGGUAUCUUACCAGAAAGGGACGGCUAACUACGUG
Molecule: ribosomal RNA, 497 nt
Filed under: uncultured bacterium
Lineage: Bacteria
Description: partial 16S ribosomal RNA
Rfam family: Bacterial small subunit ribosomal RNA
Source: RNAcentral